CGUCUGACCAUCAAUGUGGCCACGGUCGCUACAGCUGAGAACAUGAUUGAUCUUAUUGACGGGUACUGCCGCUUGGAAAACAACACAGAUGAAAGUGUUAUCCACCGACCAAAUAAAGAUGCCAAUGCAAGAACCUCCCUACCUGAAAUUCCUACUGGCAGAGAGACGAGCUCGCUCAGACACAGUAUGGGUUCAGAUAUCUACUGUGAGAUUGAUGAAAGGCCAAAAUCAGGUUCGGAAA
Non-coding RNA from Neolamprologus brichardi, 241 nucleotides. NCBI's taxonomy places the organism in Eukaryota, Metazoa, Chordata, Actinopteri, Cichliformes, Cichlidae. The record is from RefSeq and is a predicted model, not a curated record.